Molecule: unclassified non-coding RNA, 213 nt
Filed under: uncultured fungus
Lineage: Eukaryota; Fungi
Also listed under: 1 other name
Description: sequence contains ITS1, 5.8S rRNA gene
Source: RNAcentral
UUGAAACAUUGUAAAGGAGAGUUGAGCUGGUCCUUCAAGGGCAAGUGCUCGCUUUUCUUUCAAUCUUCAUCCACCUGUGCACCUUUUGUAGAGAGUUCUUGAAGAAAUGGGCCUUUUUGGGUUCAGAGUAUUCUUGGGCUUUUCUAUGUUUUACAAACUCUAAAUGUAUGUCGUUGAAUGUCUUUUAUAAAGGGAAACCUUUUAAAAACUAUA